Molecule: long non-coding RNA, 279 nt
Organism: Sapajus apella (tufted capuchin)
Lineage: Eukaryota; Metazoa; Chordata; Mammalia; Primates; Cebidae
Exons: 3
Source: RefSeq, a predicted model, not a curated record
GUUUUGGAGAUGGGUACUAGAUCCAUUUGGUCCAGUGUUGAAUUCAGAUCCCAAAUAUCUUUGUUACUUUUCAGCCUCAAAGAUUUGUCUAAUUCUGUCCGUGGGGUGUUAAAGUCUCCCCCUAUUAUUGCGUGGUUAUCUAAGUCUCUUCAUAGGUCUCUAAGAACUUGACUUAGGAAUCUGGGAGCUCCUAUGUUAGAUGCAUAUAUAUUCAGGAUAGCUAGGUCUUCAUGCUGAAUUAAGCCUUUCACCAUUCUCUAAUGCCCUUCUUUGUGUUUU